AGUGGGAGUGCCUUCCACCCCCUCCCAACCAAAGGACUUUGGUUGAAGGAGAGAAAGAGAAUGACACUGGGGUUCACGGCAAGGUCUCCUGUCCACGUGGUGAUGUGGCUGCAGAGGCUUCCGGUGGGAACACAUGGACUUCCCACCCCCGUGCUCCAUCUGCCCACACUCGGUCAUAUCUUUGCUACCUUCCUGGCAUCUGAAGGGUCUAGGAGUCUGAAUGCCAUUAGGGCCGUGUGAAAUGAACUAUCACCUGCGAAGAAUUAGAUCCCGGGUUUGGAAGACUUCCUAUUGACUAACCUGCAGUAUAAUUUAUAAUUAUUUCUGUUUACACACGAGGUGGGGCAGAGAUGCCAAGAGGAAAACUGGCCUGGAGCUCACCUGAAUGUGAGUA
This is a long non-coding RNA of Bos taurus (domestic cattle), 394 nucleotides long. The record is from Ensembl. Lineage: Eukaryota; Metazoa; Chordata; Mammalia; Artiodactyla; Bovidae.